This 70-nucleotide transfer RNA is filed under the name Allacta bimaculata. Its description in RNAcentral is "tRNA-Glu". The record is from RNAcentral. Lineage: Eukaryota; Metazoa; Arthropoda; Insecta; Blattodea; Pseudophyllodromiidae.
AUUUAUAUAGUUUAAUAUCAAAACAUUACAUUUUCAUUGUAAAAAUAAAUUCAAUAACAUUUUAUAAAUA